RNAcentral lists this transfer RNA (66 nucleotides) under Hyphydrus ovatus. RNAcentral's name for it is "tRNA-Asp". Lineage: Eukaryota; Metazoa; Arthropoda; Insecta; Coleoptera; Dytiscidae. The record is from RNAcentral.
AAAGAAUUAGUUAAAAAAUAACAUUAAAAUGUCAAAUUAAAAUUAUUAAAUUACUAAUAUUCUUUA